UACAGAGGGUGCGAGCGUUAAUCGGAAUUACUGGGCGUAAAGCGUGCGUAGACGGUUAUGUAAGUCGGGUGUGAAAGCCCCGGGCUCAACCUGGGAAUUGCAUUCGAGACUGCAUAGCUAGGAUGCGGAAGAUGGAAGUGGAAUUUCCGGUGUAGCGGUGAAAUGCGUAGAUAUCGGAAGGAACAUCAGUGGCGAAAGCGACUUCCUGGUCCAGCAUCGACGUUCAGGCACGAAAGCGUGGGGAGCAAACAGG
This 253-nucleotide ribosomal RNA is filed under the name uncultured bacterium. Its description in RNAcentral is "partial 16S ribosomal RNA". It matches the Rfam family "Bacterial small subunit ribosomal RNA", at positions 524 to 776 of the family's 1533-position model. The record is from RNAcentral.